RNAcentral lists this ribosomal RNA (92 nucleotides) under Eucalyptus deglupta. RNAcentral describes it as "partial 26S ribosomal RNA". It matches the Rfam family "Eukaryotic large subunit ribosomal RNA", at positions 1 to 90 of the family's 3401-position model. The record is from RNAcentral. Lineage: Eukaryota; Viridiplantae; Streptophyta; Magnoliopsida; Myrtales; Myrtaceae.
CGCGACCUCAGGUCAGGCGGGGCUACCCGCUGAGUUUAAGCAUAUCAAUAAGCGGAGGAAAAGAAACUAACAAGGAUUCCCUUAGUAACGGC